Molecule: ribosomal RNA, 86 nt
Filed under: Klebsiella pneumoniae
Lineage: Bacteria; Pseudomonadati; Pseudomonadota; Gammaproteobacteria; Enterobacterales; Enterobacteriaceae
Also listed under: 1 other name
Source: RNAcentral
GACCCCAUGCCGAACUCAGAAGUGAAACGUCGUAGCGCCGAUGGUAGUGUGGGGUCUCCCCAUGUGAGAGUAGGGAAUCGCCAGGC